CUUCUCUGGUUCUAAUUCUUCCCAAGACAAGUGCGACCCAAACCCCUGCCUCAACAACGGCGUGUGUGAGGCGAAGAACGGCAAGUUUAAAUGUGACUGUCCCAAACCCUUCAAGGGAAAGAAGUGUCAGAGAGCGGAGAAGAUUUGUAAGAAAAACAGAUGUGGACACGGUCUGUGCGUCCUGACGUCAAAGCCUCCGUACUACGAGUGCAAGUGCAAGGAUCCGUUCCAGCUGCCGAACUGCAGAACAGUGUCGGUGUGCAAGCCCAGCCCCUGUAAAAACGGGGGGUCAUGCAUCCCAGACGAGAAUAAAUUUAAGUGUGCCUGUCCAGACACCUUCAGCGGAAAGUUCUGUCAUGUUGGGCCGGAUGACUGUUACAAGGACAAUGGGGAGUCCUAU
Long non-coding RNA from Anguilla rostrata (American eel), 400 nucleotides. RefSeq lists it as uncharacterized. The record is from RefSeq and is a predicted model, not a curated record. Lineage: Eukaryota; Metazoa; Chordata; Actinopteri; Anguilliformes; Anguillidae. The transcript has 4 exons.